UAGCGGCGGACGGGUGAGUAAUGCCUAGGAAAUUCGCCCUGAUGUGGGGGAUAACCAUUGGAAACGAUGGCUAAUACCGCAUAAUGCCUACGGGCCAAAGAGGUUCGUCUCGCGUCAGGAUAUGCCUAGGUGGGAUUAGCUAGUUGGUGAGGUAAUGGCUCACCAAGGCGACGAUCCCUAGCUGGUCUGAGAGGAUGAUCAGCCACACUGGAACUGAGACACGGUCCAGACUCCUACGGGAGGCAGCAGUGGGGAAUAUUGCACAAUGGGCGCAAGCCUGAUGCAGCCAUGCCGCGUGUGUGAAGAAGGCCUUCCGGUUGUAAAGCACUUUCAGUCGUGAGGAAGGUGGUGUAGUAAUCUGCAUUAUUGACGUUAGCGACAGAAAAAACACCGGCUAAAUUUCUGGCAACAGCCGCGGUAAUAAAGGGUGGAGCGUUAAUCGGAAUUAUUGUGCGUAAAACGCAUGGGGGUGGUUUUUUAAAUCAAAUGUGAAAAAUCGGUUAAAAUCGGAAAAACAUUUUUUAUGGCAGACUAGAAUACCGUAGAGGCGGGGAGAAUUUCAGGUCUAACCGGGAAAUGCGUAGAGAUCUGAAAAAAAAAAGUGGCGAACGCGCCCCCCCGACAGUACUGACACUAAGAUACAAAAACGGGCGGAGCAAACAGGAUUCAUACACUGGUAGUCCUAAACGAUGUCUACGGAGGUUGAGAGCUCCCCCCGUGGCUUUCGGAGCUAACGCGGGUAGUAGACGCUGAGGAGUACGCCCGCAAGAUUAAAACUCAAAUGAAUUGACGGGGGCCCGCACAAGCGGUGGAGCAUGUGGUUUAAUUCGAUGCAACGCGAAGAACCUUACCUACUCUUGACAUCCAGAGAACUUUUCAGAGAUGGAUUGGUGCCUUCGGGAACUCUGAGACAGGUGCUGCAUGGCUGUCGUCAGCUCGUGUUGUGAAAUGUUGGGUUAAGUCCCGCAACGAGCGCAACCCUUAUCCUUGUUUGCCAGCGAGUAAUGUCGGGAACUCCAGGGAGACUGCCGGUGAUAAACCGGAGGAAGGUGGGGACGACGUCAAGUCAUCAUGGCCCUUACGAGUAGGGCUACACACGUGCUACAAUGGCGCAUACAGAGGGCAGCAAGCUAGCGAUAGUGAGCGAAUCCCAAAAAGUGCGUCGUAGUCCGGAUUGGAGUCUGCAACUCGACUCCAUGAAGUCGGAAUCGCUAGUAAUCGUGGAUCAGAAUGCCACGGUGAAUACGUUCCCGGGCCUUGUACACACCGCCCGUCACACCAUGGGAGUGGGCUGCAAAAGAAGUAGGUAGUUAACCUUCGGGAGGACGCUUACCAC
Molecule: ribosomal RNA, 1336 nt
Filed under: Vibrio sp. BS3
Lineage: Bacteria; Pseudomonadati; Pseudomonadota; Gammaproteobacteria; Vibrionales; Vibrionaceae
Description: 16S ribosomal RNA
Rfam family: Bacterial small subunit ribosomal RNA
Source: RNAcentral